UACAGAGGGGGCAAGCGUUGUUCGGAAUUACUGGGCGUAAAGGGCGCGUAGGCGGCCUGUUAAGUCGAACGUGAAAUCCCUGGGCUCAACCCAGGAACUGCGUCCGAUACUGGCAGGCUUGAAUUCGGGAGAGGGAUGCGGAAUUCCAGGUGUAGCGGUGAAAUGCGUAGAUAUCUGGAGGAACACCGGUGGCGAAGGCGGCAUCCUGGACCAAUAUUGACGCGGAGGAGCGAAAGCCAGGGGAGCAAACGGG
Molecule: ribosomal RNA, 253 nt
Filed under: uncultured bacterium
Lineage: Bacteria
Description: partial 16S ribosomal RNA
Rfam family: Bacterial small subunit ribosomal RNA
Source: RNAcentral